This 5102-nucleotide long non-coding RNA is filed under the name Nicotiana benthamiana. RNAcentral's name for it is "long non-coding RNA (NBEN_LNC004541)". Lineage: Eukaryota; Viridiplantae; Streptophyta; Magnoliopsida; Solanales; Solanaceae. The record is from RNAcentral.
AACCAUUUCGCCUUAAAAUAUAAAACCAAAAAGGUAAUCUCAAGUACAAAAUUCAUCCAAUUAAAGUUAAUUCAAUGACCAAAAAAGCAAGAGUGCACCAGCUAAAAAAUAAAAGUAAGCAAAUGGCCUGUAGAUGAUUUUAAAAAAGCCAAGCAAUAAGUGAGUUCUGGACAUUAAAAAAAGAGCACACCCUCUACAAUUUCUUUUCAAGUGGUAGUUGUAACAAGUGUUUAACCACCACCAGGCUAUCUACGGCAUAUAUCAAAAUGCAAUUUGCACCAUUCACACUGGUAAUACUGAAAAUUAUAAGAAUGUACAAACGUUAGGUGAUCUUCCAGACCCAUGGGCCAAGUAUACACCCCUCCACAGUCAGCAGAAAGGAUCUUUUCGUGAUUUUGGCAUCACCCAUCUCACCCGAAACAAUCUACAGAAAUAGUCAAAACUACCAGCCAUUGAACAUUGUAAACGUAGAGUGAAACAUGCAUCAUGUAUAAAGCAAAGCUACGUUGUAUUGGCCCUUUUGUCUUCCAAAUCAUUUUCCACUGAAGCUUCACUCUUACAUAUUGCAAUUCAAUUUAGAGUUUCUGAGAGUGCCCUGACUUCCAUUUUGAGAUGAACCGUGUUUUCUACCUGUUGAAGCAGUUAGUCAUGAAAAUACCACAGGCCGUUCAUUCCUAAUUCCUUAAGCUAGCAUGGUUGCUUUAUCUUGGCCACGAAACUAAGACUUCUAACUACAACAACAACAACUACUACCCAGUAUAGUCCCAAAAAGUGGGGUCUGGGGAGGGUAAUAUGUAGACGGGCCUUACCCCUAGCCGAAAGGGCAGAGAGACUGUUUCCAAUCGACCCUCGACUCAGUGAAGGAAAGGAAAAUCAAAAACAAAAACAAAAGAGCAUUAGUAACUCCAACAGAAAUAGCGUAAAUAACUAUCUAAACAUAAGAACCAUAAAUAAAAUAGCAUGUAAUAAUAUCUGACAGUAACUACCAUAAAUAACUACCAUAAGGGAGACACAAUCCUAUACACAAAUCACCUAUGGAUAGCCNNNNNNNNNNNNNNNNNNNNNNNGUAGCUUCAGCAGAAAUAGCGUAAAUAAUUAUCUAAACAUAAGAACCAUAAAUAAAAUAGCAUGCAAUAGUAUCAGACAGUAACUACCAUAAGGGAGACAAUCCAAUACACAAAUCAUCUAUGGAUAGCCCUGUCAAGCCUCACCCAACCCCGGGUGAGAAGUACGAAAAACUCUAGGAGCCCCUAUCUACGACCCUGAUACUAGACCUCCACUCUCGUGUAUAACGUAUANNNNNNNNNNNNNNNNNNNNNNNNNNNNNNNNNNNNNNNNNNNNNNNNNNNNNNNNNNNNNNNNNNNNNNNNNNNNNNNNNNNNNNNNNNNNNNNNNNNNNNNNGGGAGACAAUCCAAUACACAAAUCAUCUAUGGAUAGCCCUGUCAAGCCUCACCCAACCCCGGGUGAGAAGUACGAAAAACUCUAGGAGCCCCUAUCCUAUCGAGGGUCAUGUACUCGGAAACCCGCAUUCUAGCCAUGUCAUGCCUAAUCACUCUCUCCCUAAUAUCUCUUAGGCCUCCCUCUGUCUCGUCGUACGCCGACCAUCGCCAGCCGCUCACAACUCCUCACUGGGGCAUCACGACUUCUCCUCCGCACAUACCCGAACCACCUCAGCCUCGCUUCUCGCAUCUUCUCAUCCACUGCGCAGUGCGCCAACCAUCGCCAGCCGCUCACAACUCCUCAUCGGGGCAUCAGGACUUCUCCUCCGUACAUGCCCGAACCACCUCAUCCUCGCUUCUCGCAUCUUCUCAUCCACUGGGGUCACCCCCACCUUCUCUCGAAUAACUUCAUUCUUAAUCUUAUCUAACCUGGUGAGCCCGCACAUCCACCUGAACAUCCUAUCUCCGCAACCUUCAUUCUCUGAACAUGAUAGUUCUAAGACUGCUAACAACAAAUUUAUUAAUUUAAGGAAAGAAAUAAGGUUCUCAUCACUUAUUUCUUUCCUUUUUUACUGUAUUUUUACAUAAUAUGCACAACUGAAUAACGAAGAUAGUUCUCAUCUCACAUCGAAGCAGUAAAUCACUUUGCAGCUUUUGCCUCUGCUGUAACUAUGGCAUGCAUCAACAAGCAAACAAAAUUGCUAACAUGCAGCCCAGAGGCAUAAUGUUAAAAGUACCAGAGGGAUGAGCGACCUGAAGAGAUCACUAUAUUGCUUUUGCUAGAAUAUUACAAUAUGUUAUACUCAACAGUAAAGCAGUAGGCACAGGUUGUCCUCAAAGGGAAAUGAUAUAUGAGCAUUCCUAAAUUGAACAAUCCACCAAUACAAGGCGUAGAAAUCCUUUUUCCUGCUAACAUGGGCAUCCGAUCCAGAAUCUCCAAAGUAUUUUUUUUAACUGACAAUAUUUGUAUAUAUUAAUAAAAUCAAUACAUAGGUUAUACUGAAAACCAUAUGUACAAAUAAGAGAGCUGGUAUGCAAUCCUAGCAAGACCCUAAAAUAUCUAAGAUUGACACAGUAUCUUCUAUGUAAAUUUGUUUACACCAAAAAACAAGAGUGGAACACAACUAAGCUUGAUAUUCUGCACUGAGUUACUUCAGUCCUCAAAAAAUCCAAAAUUCCUCUUUCUAGACUGGUGGUCCGCCAGAUACAUACUGGGACAAUCCUCCAUCUAUCUUUGUUUGUUGCUUCAGCUCCAGCUUCAUUCCAACUAAAGAAAACUUCAGAAGCAUUGUCCAUGAAAUACCCCUAAGAUUAAUAAAGAUUUUUUAUAGUUGAUCUGUUAUCUUGCAAUAUAAAAAUAAAUAGCUAACUAUCUCAGCAUCUUGAGCACAAUGAGUUCCCUCUCUUUAUAAGAUUAUCCUGGGUAUAAACAUCCUCCUUCGCUAAUAGCCAUAAACAAGCUACCUUCUAGGGAAUCUUGAUUCUCCAAAUAUUGAUAAUACAAUCUUGGUUUCCAUGUAAGCAAUAACCAUCACAAGAAUAGUUGGUUAUCUUUUAGAGCAUUGACGCAUAUUAUGACCACAACAGAUCAUUUCAAAAUGAAAAAUACCGUAGCUUGGUAUGAUGGAUAAGUAAAAAUAAUCCUGAAAUAAAAAAAUUCAUACUGACUCAUCCUUUGUUUGAUUACUAAUCCCAACAUAAAUAAUCCUAACAUAACUGAUCCCAUCCUAACAUGUAUUCAAACCAAACAACAAGGAUAUUGGCAAAUGGGGUAAUAAAUAUCUCUUCUCAAGGAAUAUGAUGCCUAUGAGUUUAAUUUUUAUAAAGACAGGUAUUAGGAAGACAAGAGGGGUUGCUCUGAGGGUAAGCAAUCCUCCGAGAGGUUGUGAGUUCGAGUCUCCCCAAGAGCAAAGUGGGAAGUUCUUGGAGGGAAGGAUGUCGGGGGUCUAUUUGGAAACAGCCUCUCUACCCAGGGUAGGGGUAAGAUCUGCGUACAUACUACCCUCCCAAGACCCCACUAAGUAGGAUUAUAAUGGGUUAUUUUGUUGUUGCUGUAAAGACAGGUAUUGGGAACUGUAGCACAAGAAAUUGGAGAAAAUUGCAAAAAACGAUAUGAAACCAACCAUUUUCGGUUCUUUUAGUAGUUGAGUCACUUGCAAAACCAGAAAAAAUAAAUAAAACAAGUAUAAGGUGGGAAGAGCUUUUACUUGAAAAACAAGGUGGGAAAAAAUUAAAAUUAUGUACUAUAAGUGAUAUGAAAAGACAGGCUCAAACUAAGCUAUAGGCAAUUAAAAAUAGCUUGAGGUUAUACUUUGUUUAUUUUGCAACACAUGAUAAGUAAGAACAUUAAAAUCUCACAAUUGAUAUGGUUGUGGAUAGCUGAAGGAUUUAUGAGAAACAAAUGUGUCUCUUCGACAUGCAAAAGGUUGCAACAUGGCUUGCUCUGAACCCUCCUUGUACUUUUUUCUCUUCGAUGAUGGUUUCUAUAGGUACACCAACUAGCUUCUAACACUUUCCUUUUUAUUUUGCACUUCAACUCCUUGUUCACAUGAGUCCUUCAACAACCACAACCAUACAAAAGGAAGAUUUUCCAAAAUAAUUAUUGGUUGAAUACCUAAUACGUUAAUUUAAAUGUGAGAGCACACAAUUUUUGCAUCAAAGACAACGGCAUGUUGUGACUUCUAUUUGAUACUCUAAUGUUUUGUCCAUGACAAAGAAGUUAACCACAAUAACAAGAUGCAGCGUGAAAAAGUGUAAGCUUGAUACAUCAUAGUUAAUCCGAAAAAUACAUGGAUCUUAUACUUCAACUAUGCUGCAAAUAUUAUACAAAUAUCUUAAACCUUGCUUUCUUAUUCUACAACACUCGAGGACAAGAAAAUUCUAGUCCCAAAAUUAACAUGGUUAUGGAUUGCAGAAGGUUUUAUGAGAAACAUAAAGCGUUCAUUAAAUAUCAAACUGCUGUUGCGCUUAUUUGAUAAUUGCUUCCAUCAAAAGAGCAUGUAUACUCACCUCCAUUGUUUCACACAAAAACCUCUGCAACCCACAACCAUGUAAAAUGCUGAAAAAUAAAGAAAACAAGUUCCAGAUAUUCUGCAUAAUACAAGUAGCUUAGUCCACGCAUACUCACACAAUGUAUUACACAAAUUUGAACACAAGAACUCCAACUUUUACAAAAACGAUCAAAAUAUUCAAUAUAUCAACGCAAAUUGGAGUUCAACAAAUCUUAAGAAAUGAUAAAAAUGUUUGGGCUAGCACACAACCAGAUUUGGCUUAACUUUGCAUAGAAAAAUUUAUGUACGAUAACACUAGAACAUUUUAGCAUCCUUAACAGACAAGCAAACACUCAACAUAGCGAGUUAGUAAACCUGUAUAAUGAAAACAAUAAAGUAACUCAACAAGUAAACGGUAAGAAAAAACAAAAUAAUCAUUAGGAUAACAACGGGGCAUUCACAUACCAGUAUUACUACGGUAAUAGCAGUAAAGGGGUGCGGCGGCCAAGUGAAAGCUAGGGUUCUUCGGGCUUGAAAUGGAAGGGCUUGAAAUGGAAGAAGAGUGGAGCUUUAAUAUAGUGCAGAAAAAGCCCUUGCACUUUUGAAGAGUUCGUAAAUUUACCUCUCAAAACUAUUUAUUUGUCAAUUAACCCUUCUUCUUUAUUAACUUGU